RNAcentral lists this ribosomal RNA (336 nucleotides) under uncultured alveolate. RNAcentral's name for it is "partial Bacterial large subunit ribosomal RNA". It matches the Rfam family "Bacterial large subunit ribosomal RNA", at positions 1400 to 1818 of the family's 2925-position model. The record is from RNAcentral.
GGCCGAAAGGCGUAGUCGAUGGGUAGCAGGUCAACAUUCCUGCGCCUCCACGGCGAUCGAACCAGAGUGCGAAUCCCAAAGCUUUGCAGAAGCAUCAGCAUGCUGAGGCCCUUGUGGCCGUCGCAAGGGGGAGGGGUUCCGAGAAAAGCUCUGGGGGCAAUGUGGAGUCCGUACCGAUAACCGACACAGGUGGGCGAGGCGAAUAGCCUCAGGCGCUCGAGAGAACCGUCGUGAAGGAAUUAGGCAAAUUGACCCCGUACGUUCGCAAUAAGGGGGCCCUCCUCGCAAGAGAGGGCGCAGAGAAAAGGCUCUGGCGACUGUUUAUCAAAAACACAG